GGUUAAGCGACUAAGCGUACACGGUGGAUGCCCUGGCAGUCAGAGGCGAUGAAGGACGUGCUAAUCUGCGAUAAGCGCCGGUAAGGUGAUAUGAACCGUUAUAACCGGCGAUUUCCGAAUGGGGAAACCCAGUGUGACUCGUCACACUAUCAUUAACUGAAUCCAUAGGUUAAUGAGGCGAACCGGGGGAACUGAAACAUCUAAGUACCCCGAGGAAAAGAAAUCAACCGAGAUUCCCCCAGUAGCGGCGAGCGAACGGGGAGGAGCCCAGAGCCUGAAUCAGCAUGUGUGUUAGUGGAAGCGUCUGGAAAGGCGCGCGAUACAGGGUGACAGCCCCGUACACAAAAGCGCAUGUGCUGUGAGCUCGAUGAGUAGGGCGGGACACGUGGUAUCCUGUCUGAAUAUGGGGGGACCAUCCUCCAAGGCUAAAUACUCCUGACUGACCGAUAGUGAACCAGUACCGUGAGGGAAAGGCGAAAAGAACCCCGGCGAGGGGAGUGAAAAAGAACCUGAAACCGUGUACGUACAAGCAGUGGGAGCACCUUCGGGUGUGACUGCGUACCUUUUGUAUAAUGGGUCAGCGACUUAUAUUCUGUAGCAAGGUUAACCGUAUAGGGGAGCCGGAGGGAAACCGAGUCUUAACCGGGCGUUAAGUUGCAGGGUAUAGACCCGAAACCCGGUGAUCUAGCCAUGGGCAGGUUGAAGGUUGGGUAACACUAACUGGAGGACCGAACCGACUAAUGUUGAAAAAUUAGCGGAUGACCUGUGGCUGGGGGUGAAAGGCCAAUCAAACCGGGAGAUAGCUGGUUCUCCCCGAAAGCUAUUUAGGUAGCGCCUCGUGAAUUCAUCUCCGGGGGUAGAGCACUGUUUCGGCUAGGGGGCCAUCCCGGCUUACCAACCCGAUGCAAACUGCGAAUACCGGAGAAUGUUAUCACGGGAGACACACGGCGGGUGCUAACGUCCGUCGUGAAGAGGGAAACAACCCAGACCGCCAGCUAAGGUCCCAAAGUCAUGGUUAAGUGGGAAACGAUGUGGGAAGGCCCAGACAGCCAGGAUGUUGGCUUAGAAGCAGCCAUCAUUUAAAGAAAGCGUAAUAGCUCACUGGUCGAGUCGGCCUGCGCGGAAGAUGUAACGGGGCUAAACCAUGCACCGAAGCUGCGGCAGCGAACGUAUCACUUAAAGCGAUUCAGCGGGUUACGAUUGACGGAGCGAAGCGACGUCAAAGCGUAUACAAAGUCGAGUCGGUUUAAGGAUACGUUCGUUGGGUAGGGGAGCGUUCUGUAAGCCUGUGAAGGUGGCCUGUGAGGGUUGCUGGAGGUAUCAGAAGUGCGAAUGCUGACAUAAGUAACGAUAAAGCGGGUGAAAAGCCCGCUCGCCGGAAGACCAAGGGUUCCUGUCCAACGUUAAUCGGGGCAGGGUGAGUCGACCCCUAAGGCGAGGCCGAAAGGCGUAGUCGAUGGGAAACGGGUUAAUAUUCCCGUACUUGGUGUUACUGCGAAGGGGGGACGGAGAAGGCUAUGUUGGCCGGGCGACGGUUGUCCCGGUUUAAGCGUGUAGGUGUGUGUUCCAGGUAAAUCCGGUUCACUUUAACACUGAGGCGUGAUGACGAGGCACUACGGUGCUGAAGCAACAAAUGCCCUGCUUCCAGGAAAAGCCUCUAAGCAUCAGGUAACAUCAAAUCGUACCCCAAACCGACACAGGUGGUCAGGUAGAGAAUACCAAGGCGCUUGAGAGAACUCGGGUGAAGGAACUAGGCAAAAUGGUGCCGUAACUUCGGGAGAAGGCACGCUGACACGUAGGUGAAGUGAUUUACUCAUGGAGCUGAAGUCAGUCGAAGAUACCAGCUGGCUGCAACUGUUUAUUAAAAACACAGCACUGUGCAAACACGAAAGUGGACGUAUACGGUGUGACGCCUGCCCGGUGCCGGAAGGUUAAUUGAUGGGGUCAGCGCAAGCGAAGCUCCUGAUCGAAGCCCCGGUAAACGGCGGCCGUAACUAUAACGGUCCUAAGGUAGCGAAAUUCCUUGUCGGGUAAGUUCCGACCUGCACGAAUGGCGUAAUGAUGGCCAGGCUGUCUCCACCCGAGACUCAGUGAAAUUGAACUCGCUGUGAAGAUGCAGUGUACCCGCGGCAAGACGGAAAGACCCCGUGAACCUUUACUAUAGCUUGACACUGAACAUUGAGCCUUGAUGUGUAGGAUAGGUGGGAGGCUUUGAAGUGUGGACGCCAGUCUGCAUGGAGCCGACCUUGAAAUACCACCCUUUAAUGUUUGAUGUUCUAACGUGGACCCGUAAUCCGGGUUGCGGACAGUGUCUGGUGGGUAGUUUGACUGGGGCGGUCUCCUCCUAAAGAGUAACGGAGGAGCACGAAGGUUGGCUAAUCCUGGUCGGACAUCAGGAGGUUAGUGCAAUGGCAUAAGCCAGCUUGACUGCGAGCGUGACGGCGCGAGCAGGUGCGAAAGCAGGUCAUAGUGAUCCGGUGGUUCUGAAUGGAAGGGCCAUCGCUCAACGGAUAAAAGGUACUCCGGGGAUAACAGGCUGAUACCGCCCAAGAGUUCAUAUCGACGGCGGUGUUUGGCACCUCGAUGUCGGCUCAUCACAUCCUGGGGCUGAAGUAGGUCCCAAGGGUAUGGCUGUUCGCCAUUUAAAGUGGUACGCGAGCUGGGUUUAGAACGUCGUGAGACAGUUCGGUCCCUAUCUGCCGUGGGCGCUGGAGAACUGAGGGGGGCUGCUCCUAGUACGAGAGGACCGGAGUGGACGCAUCACUGGUGUUCGGGUUGUCAUGCCAAUGGCACUGCCCGGUAGCUAAAUGCGGAAGAGAUAAGUGCUGAAAGCAUCUAAGCACGAAACUUGCCCCGAGAUGAGUUCUCCCUGAGACUUAAAGUCUCCUGAAGGAACGUUGAAGACGACGACGUUGAUAGGCCGGGUGUGUAAGCGCAGCGAUGCGUUGAGCUAACCGGUACUAAUGAACCGUGAGGCUUAACCUU
This 2985-nucleotide ribosomal RNA is filed under the name Salmonella enterica subsp. enterica serovar Alachua. RNAcentral describes it as "23S ribosomal RNA". It matches the Rfam family "Bacterial large subunit ribosomal RNA". The record is from RNAcentral. Lineage: Bacteria; Pseudomonadati; Pseudomonadota; Gammaproteobacteria; Enterobacterales; Enterobacteriaceae.